RNAcentral lists this ribosomal RNA (775 nucleotides) under uncultured Neocallimastigales. Its description in RNAcentral is "partial large subunit ribosomal RNA". It matches the Rfam family "Eukaryotic large subunit ribosomal RNA", at positions 23 to 643 of the family's 3401-position model. The record is from RNAcentral. Lineage: Eukaryota; Fungi; Neocallimastigomycota; Neocallimastigomycetes; Neocallimastigales.
GAGACUCUGUGCGCGUGCAUAUCAAUAAGCGGAGGAAAAGAAACUAACAAGGAUUCCCUUAGUAACGGCGAGUGAAGCGGGAAGAGCUCAAAUUUGAAAUCUUCAAGGUUCCACCUUGACGAAUUGUAGUUUAUAGAAGUGUUUUCUGUUAGUGGAGUGGCAAAAGUUCUUUGGAAUAGGACAUCAUAGAGGGUGAGAAUCCCGUAUUUGGUCAUUCCUCCUAGCGUUGUGAUACACUUUCAAAGAGUCGGAUUGUUUGGGAAUGCAGUCCAAGAUGGGUGGUAAAUUUCAUCUAAAGCUAAAUAUUGGCGAGAGACCGAUAGCGAACAAGUACCGUGAGGGAAAGAUGAAAAGAACUUUGAAAAGAGAGUUAAACAGUACGUGAAAUUGUCAAAAGGGAAGCGUUUGACACCAGUGUUGUUUUUCCGAAAAUCAAUUACGAAUGUUUUGUUUUUAAAGAGUUAUGACUUCAUCGGCUUGCUUCUUUCUUUACGAAACUUUCUUAAUGCACUUUUCGGUUAACAAGUCAACAUCAAUUUCUUUUGUUGUAAAAGGGUAUGAGGAAGGUGGCUUUCUUUUCGGAGAAAGUGUUUAUAGCCUUGUACCUCUAGCAAUCGGAGAGAUUGAGGUCUGCAGCGUAGAUCCUUCGGGGUUAGAUACAUUUGUGCUAAGUUAUAGCUUUUCAUAGACAACUUGUUGACUAUGUUUAGUCUUGUAGCUUACUCGCUUACGCUAUUUUACCUACGCUUAGGAUGUUGAAGAUGUAGCACAUCAU